This 200-nucleotide ribosomal RNA is filed under the name uncultured organism. RNAcentral describes it as "partial small subunit ribosomal RNA". It matches the Rfam family "Bacterial small subunit ribosomal RNA", at positions 1183 to 1382 of the family's 1533-position model. The record is from RNAcentral.
CGUCAAGUCAUCAUGGCCCUUAUGACCAGGGCUACACACGUGCUACAAUGGUCGGUACAGAGGGUAGCCAAGCCGUGAGGCGGAGCCAAUCCCAGAAAGCCGAUCGUAGUCCGGAUUGCAGUCUGCAACUCGACUGCAUGAAGUCGGAAUCGCUAGUAAUCGCGGAUCAGCAUGCCGCGGUGAAUACGUUCCCGGGCCUU